This 382-nucleotide ribosomal RNA is filed under the name uncultured bacterium. RNAcentral's name for it is "bacterial SSU rRNA". It matches the Rfam family "Bacterial small subunit ribosomal RNA", at positions 30 to 410 of the family's 1533-position model. The record is from RNAcentral.
AUUGAACGCUGGCGGCAUGCCUUACACAUGCAAGUCGAACGGCAGCAUGAUGUGUAGCAAUACACGUUGAUGGCGAGUGGCGAACGGGUGAGUAAUAUAUCGGAACAUGUCCUGUAGCGGGGGAUAACCUAUCGAAAGAUGGACUAAUACCGCAUACGCUCUACGGAGGAAAGCGGGGUCGCAAGACCUCGCACUAUAGGAGUGGCCGAUANCGGAUUAGCUAGUUGGCGGGUAAAGCCACCAAGGCGACGAUCCGUAGCUGGUCUGAGAGGAUGAUCAGCCACACUGGAACUGAGACACGGUCCAGACUCCUACGGGAGGCAGCAGUGGGAAUUUUGGACAAUGGGCGCAAGCCUGAUCCAGCCAUGCCGCGUGAGUGAAG